GUCACCGGUCAAAGGGUCGUGGACCCACCCGUACCCAUUCCGAACACGGAAGUGAAACACGAUUCCGUUCCGGGAGGUAGUGCGGUCUUCGGACGCGCGAAGCCCGGAAAGCUGGUGGCC
RNAcentral lists this ribosomal RNA (120 nucleotides) under Candidatus Bathyarchaeota archaeon. The record is from RNAcentral. Lineage: Archaea; Thermoproteati; Candidatus Bathyarchaeota.